GGUUAAGCGACUAAGCGUACACGGUGGAUGCCCUGGCAGUCAGAGGCGAUGAAGGACGUGCUAAUCUGCGAUAAGCGUCGGUAAGGUGAUAUGAACCGUUAUAACCGGCGAUUUCCGAAUGGGGAAACCCAGUGUGUUUCGACACACUAUCAUUAACUGAAUCCAUAGGUUAAUGAGGCGAACCGGGGGAACUGAAACAUCUAAGUACCCCGAGGAAAAGAAAUCAACCGAGAUUCCCCCAGUAGCGGCGAGCGAACGGGGAGCAGCCCAGAGCCUGAAUCAGUGUGUGUGUUAGUGGAAGCGUCUGGAAAGGCGCGCGAUACAGGGUGACAGCCCCGUACACAAAAAUGCACAUGCUGUGAGCUCGAUGAGUAGGGCGGGACACGUGGUAUCCUGUCUGAAUAUGGGGGGACCAUCCUCCAAGGCUAAAUACUCCUGACUGACCGAUAGUGAACCAGUACCGUGAGGGAAAGGCGAAAAGAACCCCGGCGAGGGGAGUGAAAAAGAACCUGAAACCGUGUACGUACAAGCAGUGGGAGCCUCUUUUAUGGGGUGACUGCGUACCUUUUGUAUAAUGGGUCAGCGACUUAUAUUCUGUAGCAAGGUUAACCGAAUAGGGGAGCCGAAGGGAAACCGAGUCUUAACUGGGCGUUAAGUUGCAGGGUAUAGACCCGAAACCCGGUGAUCUAGCCAUGGGCAGGUUGAAGGUUGGGUAACACUAACUGGAGGACCGAACCGACUAAUGUUGAAAAAUUAGCGGAUGACUUGUGGCUGGGGGUGAAAGGCCAAUCAAACCGGGAGAUAGCUGGUUCUCCCCGAAAGCUAUUUAGGUAGCGCCUCGUGAAUUCAUCUCCGGGGGUAGAGCACUGUUUCGGCAAGGGGGUCAUCCCGACUUACCAACCCGAUGCAAACUGCGAAUACCGGAGAAUGUUAUCACGGGAGACACACGGCGGGUGCUAACGUCCGUCGUGAAGAGGGAAACAACCCAGACCGCCAGCUAAGGUCCCAAAGUCAUGGUUAAGUGGGAAACGAUGUGGGAAGGCCCAGACAGCCAGGAUGUUGGCUUAGAAGCAGCCAUCAUUUAAAGAAAGCGUAAUAGCUCACUGGUCGAGUCGGCCUGCGCGGAAGAUGUAACGGGGCUAAACCAUGCACCGAAGCUGCGGCAGCGACGCUUAUGCGUUGUUGGGUAGGGGAGCGUUCUGUAAGCCUGUGAAGGUGUGCUGUGAGGCAUGCUGGAGGUAUCAGAAGUGCGAAUGCUGACAUAAGUAACGAUAAAGCGGGUGAAAAGCCCGCUCGCCGGAAGACCAAGGGUUCCUGUCCAACGUUAAUCGGGGCAGGGUGAGUCGACCCCUAAGGCGAGGCCGAAAGGCGUAGUCGAUGGGAAACAGGUUAAUAUUCCUGUACUUGGUGUUACUGCGAAGGGGGGACGGAGAAGGCUAUGUUGGCCGGGCGACGGUUGUCCCGGUUUAAGCGUGUAGGCUGGUUUUCCAGGCAAAUCCGGAAAAUCAAGGCUGAGGCGUGAUGACGAGGCACUACGGUGCUGAAGCAACAAAUGCCCUGCUUCCAGGAAAAGCCUCUAAGCAUCAGGUAACAUCAAAUCGUACCCCAAACCGACACAGGUGGUCAGGUAGAGAAUACCAAGGCGCUUGAGAGAACUCGGGUGAAGGAACUAGGCAAAAUGGUGCCGUAACUUCGGGAGAAGGCACGCUGAUAUGUAGGUGAAG
RNAcentral lists this ribosomal RNA (1724 nucleotides) under Escherichia coli. RNAcentral's name for it is "partial 23S ribosomal RNA". It matches the Rfam family "Bacterial large subunit ribosomal RNA", at positions 1 to 1767 of the family's 2925-position model. The record is from RNAcentral. Lineage: Bacteria; Pseudomonadati; Pseudomonadota; Gammaproteobacteria; Enterobacterales; Enterobacteriaceae.